CACGUAGGGCGCAAGCGUUGUCCGGAAUUAUUGGGCGUAAAGAGCUCGUAGGCGGUCUGUUGCGUCCGCUGUGAAAACCCGGGGCUUAACCCUGGGCUGGCAGUGGAUACGGACAGACUAGAGGUAGGUAGGGGAGAAUGGAAUUCCCGGUGUAGCGGUGAAAUGCGCAGAUAUCGGGAGGAACACCGGUGGCGAAGGCGGUUCUCUGGGACGGUACUGACGCUGAGACGCGAAAGCGUGGGGAGCGAACAGG
Molecule: ribosomal RNA, 253 nt
Filed under: uncultured bacterium
Lineage: Bacteria
Description: partial 16S ribosomal RNA
Rfam family: Bacterial small subunit ribosomal RNA
Source: RNAcentral